GCUGGGCGAGGUGGUGCAUGCCUUUAAUCCCAGCACUUGGGAAGCAGAGGCAGGCGGAUCUCUGUGAGUUCAAGGCCAGCCUGGUCUACAUAGUGAGUUCCAGGACAGCUGGGGCUAUAGAGAUACCCUGUCUCAAAAAGACCAAAUAAAUAAAUAAAUAACAUUUUAUUUUGAGACAGGGUCUCCCUGUAGCCUCAGCUGGCCUGGAACUUGAUAUAUAGACCAGGCUAGCCUCAAUCACACAGAGAUCCACCUGCCUCU
RNAcentral lists this small RNA (261 nucleotides) under Nannospalax galili (Upper Galilee mountains blind mole rat). Its description in RNAcentral is "Metazoan signal recognition particle RNA (ENSNGAG00000002992.1)". Lineage: Eukaryota; Metazoa; Chordata; Mammalia; Rodentia; Spalacidae. The record is from RNAcentral.